Phalacrocorax carbo (great cormorant) is the source of this 2129-nucleotide non-coding RNA. Lineage: Eukaryota; Metazoa; Chordata; Aves; Suliformes; Phalacrocoracidae. The record is from RefSeq and is a predicted model, not a curated record.
CAUCCCCCGCGCUGGGAGCCGGCGCUGCGCGGCUGCACCACAGCGGGCGGGAGCCUUCGGCGGGGCGGGGGGCGGCCCGGCAGCCUCCCGCGCCCGUAGGGUCGGCCCCAUCCGGGCCCGGCCCCGCGCGGUUCCUCCGGGAGCGGCCAGCGCCCGCAGCGCGGCGGCCGGGAUGGGGCCGGGGCUGGGGCGGCGGCGCGGGCCGCGGUUGGUCGUCGCACGCCGCUGAGUAGGGGGGGGGCGCCGCACCGGGGGUCUCGGCGCCAGGCAGGGGAGGGGAGAUCCCCUUGCCCCGCUGCUCUCGGUGCCGCGGCGGGGUCGUGAGCGUGGGCGGGCCCCGCCCGCGGCGGGGUCGGAGUCGGGGUCGGGAGCGCGGGUGGGCCCGGCCCGCGGCGGGGCGGCCGGUGCGGCGAGUCCCGCCCGGCUCCUUCACGCACCCCGGCGCCUCACCCCGGGACCCGCGGGCACCCCGCGGCCGCCCUUCUGUCGGGAAGACCUCUCACAUUUUUUCUUAAAACACCCCCAAAGAAACCGUUUUGCGAGAGCCCUUCGCGGCACGGCGACGCACAGCGCCAGCGCCUGGACCCGGAGGUGGGAAAGCCCGUGGGCUUUUCGGGAUGGAUUCGCGAAGGACGCACAAAGCGUUUGCAAGCGAAGUCUGAGGGCAGUGCUUUUGCAGAGAGGCAAAAGAGGGAUGGAGCUCUCAGCAGCAGGCUUUUUCACCACACGCUCCUUGGAGCUUUGCUGGCUUCUAGUACCUUAGCAUCUCCUGCUUUCUCUACUGUUUAAGUGAGAUAUUUUGUCAGCCUCCAAGGAAUGUGCUCUUGUUUCGCUGGCUGGAUGAAGCAAGCAAUGCAGAUUUAGUGGACAAAGAACUUCAUGCUCUGAGUUUUAAUGUUUUGCUACAGAUUCAGUGUAGCAAAAUAGGUCUAGGAACACAGCAACAUCAUGUAGAAAGAAAAAAUAAAUGCCAAGCUGCAGCGUCUCUUCAGGACUGAGUUCACGUUUCUACAUGUAGAUUCAAUUUUUGUGUAAAACAAGUCAUUAAACUUACCUGCAGUGAAACCCAUUAUAACUGUCUGGAUUACUGCCUCCUAAACGUGAUCUGCAGGUUGUGGUCUGUCAGAUAGCAGAUGAUGAUACAUAAACAACUGCUUAAAACCCUCUGAUGCAUAAACAUAAGCAACCAAGGAAAGAACAAAAUGGAGAAAAAUGAAAACAAACAUUCAGGGUUAAGCUUAAUUUUUAUUUGGCAGUAAAUAAAAAUCACUGUGACAAUAUUCUUUAAGACGAUCGCCAGAGUGCAAUUAUUACCAGAGUGCAAUUUUUUGUUAGGUGGCCAUUGGAUUACAAGUAAAAUUGAAAAUUAUUACCGUAUGCUUUUAAUAUACAGACCCAUCCAGAGCCAUUACUUUUUUACAAUUUUUGUAUGCAUUGCCGGCAAGGCUGCACAGUUAUAGAAUCAGAUCAGAGAAUUCCCUGUGAUAUUGUAUAUUGAUUCGGACGUCAGAUUUCAGGUAGAUACAAAGAUCCAUUUACACAGAUGUAACUACAAGUUUGGAAUCACUGCAGCAUCUGUGUAUACCAGUAUAAACCAUGCUAUUGUCUUAAAUUAAUAUAUCAGAAGUUCAUAUGACAAGCAGAACCUCACCUUAACUAAAAGGUGGAAAGAUUUUGCAAGUUUGCAACAAUUAAAACUUUUUUUUUCUUUCCCUUUUCCUGUUUCUCUGAGGUGCUUUUUCAACAAAUAAAAACUCAUGGCAAAUGAUCAGUAUGCUGCAUCUGAGAAAUAUUUUCUUUGUAUAUUGAAAAAACCUACCAAUUAUCCCUUCUGCAACACAGCAGAUUCAAAAAAAAAUCUGUCUAUUAUUCUUAGCCAUAGUCCAUGGUGUUAUGAAGACUUUGGUAUACUUCAUUCCAGCCGAUAAGUAACAUAUUAGAAAAUGAACAAUAUGGGAAAACUAAUGACGAUUUUGAAGUCAGUGUUUUAUUUUGGCACACUUUCUAGGUAUUAAAUAAGCUUAUCAUCUUUCUGUGCUACUACUUAAUGUUUAAAGAUCAAAUUAUAUUUCUGGAAAGCAGUUACGUUCCAGCUGUGAUUAGUGUAGCAAAUGCUAAUAUGAAUUUUU